RNAcentral lists this ribosomal RNA (518 nucleotides) under uncultured bacterium. Its description in RNAcentral is "bacterial SSU rRNA". It matches the Rfam family "Bacterial small subunit ribosomal RNA", at positions 8 to 518 of the family's 1533-position model. The record is from RNAcentral.
AGAGUUUGAUCCUGGCUUAGGAUGAACGCUAGCUACAGGCUUAACACAUGCAAGUCGAGGGGCAGCAUUGGAGUAGCAAUACUCAGAUGGCGACCGGCGCACGGGUGAGUAACACGUAUCCAACCUGCCGCUUACUCGGGGAUAGCCUUUCGAAAGAAAGAUUAAUACCCGAUGGUAUAAAGAGUUCGCAUGUUCUCUUUAUUAAAGAAUUUCGGUAAGCGAUGGGGAUGCGUUCCAUUAGAUAGUUGGCGGGGUAACGGCCCACCAAGUCUACGAUGGAUAGGGGUUCUGAGAGGAAGGUCCCCCACAUUGGAACUGAGACACGGUCCAAACUCCUACGGGAGGCAGCAGUGAGGAAUAUUGGUCAAUGGACGAGAGUCUGAACCAGCCAAAGUAGCGUGAAGGAUGACUGCCCUAUGGGUUGUAAACUUCUUUUAUAAGGGAAUAAAGUGAGGGACGUGUCCCUUUUUGUAUGUACCUUAUGAAUAAGGAUCGGCUAACUCCGUGCCAGCCGCGGC